This 496-nucleotide ribosomal RNA is filed under the name uncultured bacterium. RNAcentral's name for it is "bacterial SSU rRNA". It matches the Rfam family "Bacterial small subunit ribosomal RNA", at positions 30 to 521 of the family's 1533-position model. The record is from RNAcentral.
AUUGAACGCUGGCGGCAUGCUUUACACAUGCAAGUCGAACGGUAACAGGUCUUCGGAUGCUGACGAGUGGCGAACGGGUGAGUAAUGUAUCGGAACGUGCCCAGUAGUGGGGGAUAACUACUCGAAAGAGUGGCUAAUACCGCAUGAGAACUGAGGUUGAAAGCGGGGGACCUUCGGGCCUCGCGCUACUGGAGCGGCCGAUAUCAGAUUAGGUAGUUGGUGGGGUAAAGGCCUACCAAGCCGACGAUCUGUAGCUGGUCUGAGAGGACGACCAGCCACACUGGGACUGAGACACGGCCCAGACUCCUACGGGAGGCAGCAGUGGGGAAUUUUGGACAAUGGACGCAAGUCUGAUCCAGCAAUGCCGCGUGCAGGACGAAGGCCUUCGGGUUGUAAACUGCUUUUGUACAGAACGAAAAGGCUCUGGUUAAUACCUGGGGCUCAUGACGGUACUGUAAGAAUAAGCACCGGCUAACUACGUGCCAGCAGCCGCGGU